RNAcentral lists this ribosomal RNA (675 nucleotides) under uncultured Escherichia sp. Its description in RNAcentral is "bacterial SSU rRNA". It matches the Rfam family "Bacterial small subunit ribosomal RNA", at positions 57 to 721 of the family's 1533-position model. The record is from RNAcentral. Lineage: Bacteria; Pseudomonadati; Pseudomonadota; Gammaproteobacteria; Enterobacterales; Enterobacteriaceae.
GCAAGUCGAACGGUAACAGGAAGCAGCUUGCUGCUUCGCUGACGAGUGGCGGACGGGUGAGUAAUGUCUGGGAAGCUGCCUGAUGGAGGGGGAUAACUACUGGAAACGGUAGCUAAUACCGCAUAAUGUCGCAAGACCAAAGAGGGGGACCUUCGGGCCUCUUGCCAUCGGAUGUGCCCAGAUGGGAUUAGCUUGUUGGUGGGGUAACGGCUCACCAAGGCGACGAUCCCUAGCUGGUCUGAGAGGAUGACCAGCCACACUGGAACUGAGACACGGUCCAGACUCCUACGGGAGGCAGCAGUGGGGAAUAUUGCACAAUGGGCGCAAGCCUGAUGCAGCCAUGCCGCGUGUAUGAAGAAGGCCUUCGGGUUGUAAAGUACUUUCAGCGGGGAGGAAGGGAGUAAAGUUAAUACCUUUGCUCAUUGACGUUACCCGCAGAAGAAGCACCGGCUAACUCCGUGCCAGCAGCCGCGGUAAUACGGAGGGUGCAAGCGUUAAUCGGAAUUACUGGGCGUAAAGCGCACGCAGGCGGUUUGUUAAGUCAGAUGUGAAAUCCCCGGGCUCAACCUGGGAACUGCAUCUGAUACUGGCAAGCUUGAGUCUCGUAGAGGGGGGUAGAAUUCCAGGUGUAGCGGUGAAAUGCGUAGAGAUCUGGAGGAAUACCGGUGGCGAAGG